This is a non-coding RNA of Paramuricea clavata, 73 nucleotides long. Lineage: Eukaryota; Metazoa; Cnidaria; Anthozoa; Malacalcyonacea; Plexauridae. The record is from the annotation of a GenBank genome assembly.
GACCGCGUAGCUCAGUUGGAAGAGCAUUGGGCUAGUAUUUUAAAGGUCGUAGGUUCAAAUCCCACCGUGGCCG